AUCCAGCUGACGAGUCCUAAAGGCAACGAAACGCGCGUCCUGAAU
Schistosoma rodhaini is the source of this 45-nucleotide non-coding RNA. NCBI's taxonomy places the organism in Eukaryota, Metazoa, Platyhelminthes, Trematoda, Strigeidida, Schistosomatidae. The record is from Rfam.